This 468-nucleotide ribosomal RNA is filed under the name uncultured bacterium. RNAcentral's name for it is "partial 16S ribosomal RNA". It matches the Rfam family "Bacterial small subunit ribosomal RNA", at positions 28 to 507 of the family's 1533-position model. The record is from RNAcentral.
GACGAACGCUGGCGGCGUGCUUAACACAUGCAAGUCGAACGGAAAGGCCCUGCUUUUGUGGGGUGCUCGAGUGGCGAACGGGUGAGUAACACGUGAGUAACCUGCCCUUGACCUUGGGAUAACUUCAGGAAACUGGGGCUAAUACCGGAUAGGAGCUCCUACUGCAUGGUGGGGGUUGGAAAGUUUCGGCGGUUGGGGAUGGACUCGCGGCUUAUCAGCUUGUUGGUGGGGUAGUGGCUUACCAAGGCUUUGACGGGUAGCCGGCCUGAGAGGGUGACCGGCCACAUUGGGACUGAGAUACGGCCCAGACUCCUACGGGAGGCAGCAGUGGGGAAUAUUGCACAAUGGGCGGAAGCCUGAUGCAGCAACGCCGCGUGCGGGAUGACGGCCUUCGGGUUGUAAACCGCUUUCGCCUGUGACGAAGCGUGAGUGACGGUAAUGGGUAAAGAAGCACCGGCUAACUACGUG